This 1471-nucleotide long non-coding RNA is filed under the name Phascolarctos cinereus (koala). Its description in RNAcentral is "lncRNA (ENSPCIG00000013256.2)". The record is from RNAcentral. Lineage: Eukaryota; Metazoa; Chordata; Mammalia; Diprotodontia; Phascolarctidae.
AUGGCUGGAGGUCAUAGGAAGGAGCUGUUCCCUAUAUCACUAAUUUCAUAUGGGAAAUGGUGUGGCCUCUUUUCAGGGGAGGUAACAGCAUAUCUGUCCACCACAUCCUGGGCCCAGCCCCCAACUAUGGUUGACCCUUCCUUCAAUGUAGCUGAGACCAAUCAACAGAGGAAAUGGCUAAUGGGAAAGAGCAGGGAAUCACAUGUAAGCCUUUUGUGCCAGGGGCUCCAGAAAAACACUCAUUUCCUCUACAUCUUCAAGGAUAAGAAAUUCAGAGACAAGGUAUCUGUUUCCAGGCUGGAUAAUGAAUUCACAUUCAGGAAUGUGGGAGCUGUUGACAAGGAGUUAGAGCUGUCAUUGUGGCCAAUGGACCAGGUGCCUGGGCAGGGCUCAGGGAAGCCUGCAACUCAUGUAACAAGAAGAAUAAAAGUCACAAGAGGAAGUCAUGCUUCUCUGGUGCUUUCUGGGUGACAGGGUGCAUUCCUCAAGACCUUCCUGAGAGGCAGCUGGGGGUGAAGGGAAGAAGGGGGCCAGAUAAAGCAGUUGUGGCACUGGAGGAGGAAGGUGACUGAGCCCCAAAGCCCUCACUGGGAGCUUCCUUAGCUAAUCUUCACAAUAACAAUGGCUUAUAUAGUGCUUUGUAGAUAGUUCUUGGAGGUUUGCAAAGUGCUCCACAGAUAUCAUCUCAUUUUACCCUCACCUGGGAGGUAGAUGCUAUUAUUAUCCCCAUUCUACAGAUGAAGAAAACUGAGGCAGGGAAUGAUUCUGUAACUUGCCCAGUGUAACACAGCUAGUAAACACCCAAAUCUAGAUUUGAAUUCAAGUCUUUCUGACUUCAGGCAUUUGUUAAGUGCUUAGUACAUGGCGCAGUGAGAAGAAAGAAGAGGUGACUCUGCAUGCUAGGCCUUGCCUCUCUUCUGAUACCUUUGAUCCAAUGGCUGCUUAUCUCCCCCAGCAGGCUGUCAUCACUUCCCACUAAUCUUCACUCUGUCCCAUCUACUUGGUCCUGUUUCCUUUAAACAUGUCCAAUUCUAUUCUACAUUUACCAAAACCUUCACUUGAAAUGUCUCCUUCCUCGCACAGAUAAAUGCCUAUAAAAGCAAUCAGUGCUCAUUGCUUCCACUUCCUCCCCUUUCACAUACUUCUCAAGCCCAUAUAUGAGAUAUGGCUUCUUGCCCGUAUCUCAACUGAAAGCACUAUCUCUAAAUUUCCUAGUGAUCUAUAAUUACCAAGUCAAAUGACCUCCCCCCCCCCCAGCUCUUAUUGGUCCUGGCCUCUCUGCAGCAUUUCAUACCGUUAGCACCAUUUCCUCUUGGAUACGCUCUCUUCUUCUCUAGGUUACUGUGGCAGUGUUUUCUUGGUUCUGUUCCCACCUGGGCAUUCUCUUUUUUCAUUUAAUAUUUUAUUUUUUUCCAAUUACAUGUAAAAAACAAUUUUAACAUUCUUUUUUUCUUCAAAUUUUGAGUCCCAA